This 433-nucleotide ribosomal RNA is filed under the name uncultured bacterium. Its description in RNAcentral is "partial 16S ribosomal RNA". It matches the Rfam family "Bacterial small subunit ribosomal RNA", at positions 29 to 507 of the family's 1533-position model. The record is from RNAcentral.
AGCGAACGCUGGCGGCAGGCCUAACACAUGCAAGUCGAACGAACCUUUCGGGGUUAGUGGCGGACGGGUGAGUAACACGUGGGAACGUGCCUUUAGGUUCGGAAUAACUCAGGGAAACUUGUGCUAAUACCGAAUGUGCCCUUCGGGGGAAAGAUUUAUCGCCUUUAGAGCGGCCCGCGUCUGAUUAGCUAGUUGGUUGAGGUAAUGGCUCACCAAGGCGACGAUCAGUAGCUGGUCUGAGAGGAUGAUCAGCCACAUUGGGACUGAGACACGGCCCAAACUCCUACGGGAGGCAGCAGUGGGGAAUCUUGCGCAAUGGGCGAAAGCCUGACGCAGCCAUGCCGCGUGAAUGAUGAAGGUCUUAGGAUUGUAAAAUUCUUUCACCGGGGACGAUAAUGACGGUACCCGGAGAAGAAGCCCGGCUAACUUCGUG